AACUGCGAGUGAAGCGGGAAAAGCUCAAAUUUAAAAUCUGGCGGUCUCUGGCCGUCCGAGUUGUAAUUUAGAGAAGCGUCUUCCGCGCCGGGCCGUGCACAAGUCUCCUGGAAUGGAGCGUCAUAGAGGGUGAGAAUCCCGUCUUUGGCACGGAUGCCUGUGCUUCUGCGAUGCGCUCUCGAAGAGUCGAGUUGUUUGGGAAUGCAGCUCAAAAUGGGUGGUGAACUCCAUCUAAAGCUAAAUAUUGGCGAGAGACCGAUAGCGAACAAGUACCGUGAGGGAAAGAUGAAAAGCACUUUGGAAAGAGAGUGAAACAGUACGUGAAAUUGUUGAAAGGGAAACGCUUGAAGUCAGUCGCGUCGACCGAGACUCAGCCUUGCCUUGGCUUGGUGUACUUCUCGGCUCGACGGGUCAGCGUCAAUUUUGCCCCUCGGAUAAUGGCAAGGGAAAGGUGGCACCUUUGCGGGUGUGUUAUAGUCUCCUGUCGCAUGCGAGGGGUGGGAUUGAGGAACUCAGCGCGCACCUUGGUGUCGGGGCUUCG
Molecule: ribosomal RNA, 541 nt
Filed under: Lactarius hatsudake
Lineage: Eukaryota; Fungi; Basidiomycota; Agaricomycetes; Russulales; Russulaceae
Description: LSU rRNA
Rfam family: Eukaryotic large subunit ribosomal RNA
Source: RNAcentral